Molecule: ribosomal RNA, 494 nt
Filed under: uncultured bacterium
Lineage: Bacteria
Description: partial 16S ribosomal RNA
Rfam family: Bacterial small subunit ribosomal RNA
Source: RNAcentral
GACGAACGCUGGCGGCGUGCUUAACACAUGCAAGUCGAACGGAAAGGCCUGCUUUCCCUUGUGUAUUGCGGGUACUCGAGUGGCGAACGGGUGAGUAACACGUGAGUGAUCUGCCCCCAACUUUGGUAUAAGCCUGGGAAACUGGGUCUAAUUCCCGAUAGGACUGCAGGGUGGUGCCUGUGGUGGAAAACGAUUUUCUAGUGGUUGUGGAUGAGCUCGCGGCCUAUCAGGUUGUUGGUGGGGUAAUGGCCUACCAAGGCGGCGACGGGUAGCCGGCCUGAGAGGGUGGACGGCGACAUUGGGACUGGGAUACGGCCCAGACUCCUACGGGAGGCAGCAGUGGGGAAUAUUGCACAAUGGGCGGAAGCCUGAUGCAGCGACGCCGCGUGGGGGAUGACGGCAUUCGGGUUGUAAACUCCUUUCGACCGCGAGGAAGCCACCUGGUUGGAAGGGUGGUGACGGUAGUGGUAGAAGAAGCACCGGCUAACUACGUG